RNAcentral lists this ribosomal RNA (254 nucleotides) under uncultured bacterium. Its description in RNAcentral is "partial 16S ribosomal RNA". It matches the Rfam family "Bacterial small subunit ribosomal RNA", at positions 524 to 776 of the family's 1533-position model. The record is from RNAcentral.
GACAGAGGGUGCAAGCGUUGUUCGGAAUUACUGGGCGUAAAGCGCGCGCAGGCGGAUCCUGUAAGUCAGACGUGAAAUCCCUCGGCUUAACCGGGGAACUGCGUCUGAUACUGGAUGGCUCGAGUUUGGGAGAGGGAUGCGGAAUUCCAGGUGUAGCGGUGAAAUGCGCAGAUAUCAGGAGGAACACCGGUGGCGAAGGCGGGUCUCUGGGCCGAUACUGACACUGAGGAGCGAAAGCGUGGGGAGCGAACAGG